CCUACGUGAGGCUGCAGUGGGGAAUAUUGCACAAUGGGGGAAACCCUGAUGCAGCGACGCCGCGUGAGUGAAGAAGUAUUUCGGUAUGUACAGCUCUAUCAGCAGGGAAGAAAAUGACGGUACCUGAUUAAGAAGCCCCGGCUAACUACGUGCCAGCCGCCGCGGUAAUACGUAGGGGGCUAGCGUUAUCCGGCUUUACUGGGUGUAAAGGUAGAGUAGACGGCAGCACAAGUCUGGAGUGAAAUGCCGGGGAUUAAUCCCGGAACUGCUUUGGAAACUGUGCAGCUAGAGUGCAGGAGAGGUAAGUGGAAUUCCUAGUGUAGGGGUGAAAUGCGUAGAUAUUAGGAGGAACACCAGUGGCGAAGGCGGCUUACUGGACUGUAACUGACGUUGAGGCGCGAAAGCGUGGGGAGCAAACAGGAUUAGAUACCCGGGUAGUC
This 440-nucleotide ribosomal RNA is filed under the name uncultured bacterium. RNAcentral's name for it is "partial 16S ribosomal RNA". It matches the Rfam family "Bacterial small subunit ribosomal RNA", at positions 338 to 795 of the family's 1533-position model. The record is from RNAcentral.